AUGCGGUGCCCUUAUUUGGUGGGGGAUUGUAAGAGCAGGCCCAAAAGUGACGUGGUGGGAAUACAGCUUGCUGCAGCCCGUGAUGGGAACUGGUGGGACUUCCUGUCCUAUGUCAAUGUGAAGACGUACACACCCAUGCCAUCAAUCUUUUGUCAAGUGUUGCUCACUGUAUUCAUGGUACUACAGGGGACCAUCACCAGACUCAUCAACUUCCUCGGCUUCACCGGAUAGGUCAUCUCCUUUGUCUGUGCUCUAUGUUGUAUUGUACUGAGGUUUAAAUAAAGGACGACCCGAAACGAAUAAAGGUUCCCCUCCUCAUCCAUAUCAGCUUCAUGCUGUGGUGUUUGUUCUUCAUUGUUGCACCUAUUGCACAGAAUCCACAGAUUGAGGUGCUGUAUGCCACCAUAUUCAUUGCUGGGCGUCUCGUUGUCUAUUUCCCACACA
Haliotis rubra (blacklip abalone) is the source of this 444-nucleotide long non-coding RNA. RefSeq lists it as uncharacterized. The record is from RefSeq and is a predicted model, not a curated record. The transcript is spliced from 4 exons. Lineage: Eukaryota; Metazoa; Mollusca; Gastropoda; Lepetellida; Haliotidae.